Long non-coding RNA from Manis pentadactyla (Chinese pangolin), 307 nucleotides. RefSeq lists it as uncharacterized. Lineage: Eukaryota; Metazoa; Chordata; Mammalia; Pholidota; Manidae. The transcript is spliced from 3 exons. The record is from RefSeq and is a predicted model, not a curated record.
GUUCUUACCGGGUCUCCAAUCUGUUGGCCUACCUUGCAGAAUUUGGACUUCACUGCUUCAAUAAUCAUUGUAUUUCCUCUUGAAUAUCAUUCUGAUUUGGUCCCUUUGAAUGUCAACUUAUUAACUGUGGUCCACAGAGCAGGCAAUGAGAAAAGAGCACCCCAUAACAGGUGGCUAUAUGAUCACUGCUUAUUCAGAGCAAGAAGACAUCCUAGUUGUUCUCCUUUAUGCCCAUUUUCCAUUUUCCCCUUUCUCUUUGGCAAAGAUACAGUUAAAAAAAAAAGAAUCAACAAAUAAAAACUCUACU